RNAcentral lists this ribosomal RNA (253 nucleotides) under uncultured bacterium. RNAcentral's name for it is "partial 16S ribosomal RNA". It matches the Rfam family "Bacterial small subunit ribosomal RNA", at positions 524 to 776 of the family's 1533-position model. The record is from RNAcentral.
UACGUAGGGUCCGAGCGUUGUCCGGAAUUAUUGGGCGUAAAGGGCUCGUAGGCGGUCUGUCGCGUCGGCUGUGAAAACUUGGGGCUCAACCCCAAGCCUGCAGUCGAUACGGGCAGACUAGAGUGCGGUAGGGGAGACUGGAAUUCCUGGUGUAGCGGUGAAAUGCGCAGAUAUCAGGAGGAACACCGGUGGCGAAGGCGGGUCACUGGACCAUUACUGACGCUGAGGCACGAAAGCUAGGGGAGCAAACAGG